RNAcentral lists this unclassified non-coding RNA (548 nucleotides) under Penicillium michoacanense. Its description in RNAcentral is "Penicillium sp. ERA-2019c sequence contains 18S rRNA gene, ITS1, 5.8S rRNA gene, ITS2". The stretch from base 186 to 339 matches the Rfam family "5.8S ribosomal RNA". The record is from RNAcentral. Lineage: Eukaryota; Fungi; Ascomycota; Eurotiomycetes; Eurotiales; Aspergillaceae.
AGGAUCAUUACCGAGUGAGGGCCCUCUGGGUCCAACCUCCCACCCGUGUUUAUCGUACCUUGUUGCUUCGGCGGGCCCGCCGUUCAGGCCGCCGGGGGGCAUCCGCCCCCGGGCCCGCGCCCGCCGAAGACACCAUUGAACGCUGUCUGAAGAUUGCAGUCUGAGCGAUUAGCUAAAUCAGUUAAAACUUUCAACAACGGAUCUCUUGGUUCCGGCAUCGAUGAAGAACGCAGCGAAAUGCGAUAAGUAAUGUGAAUUGCAGAAUUCAGUGAAUCAUCGAGUCUUUGAACGCACAUUGCGCCCCCUGGUAUUCCGGGGGGCAUGCCUGUCCGAGCGUCAUUGCUGCCCUCAAGCACGGCUUGUGUGUUGGGCCCCGCCCCCCGGCUACCGGGGGGCGGGCCCGAAAGGCAGCGGCGGCACCGCGUCCGGUCCUCGAGCGUAUGGGGCUUCGUCACCCGCUCUGUAGGCCCGGCCGGCGCCCGCCGGCGACCCCCCUCAAUCUUUCUCAGGUUGACCUCGGAUCAGGUAGGGAUACCCGCUGAACUUAA